Molecule: ribosomal RNA, 447 nt
Filed under: uncultured bacterium
Lineage: Bacteria
Description: partial 16S ribosomal RNA
Rfam family: Bacterial small subunit ribosomal RNA
Source: RNAcentral
ACCAGACUCCUACGGGAGGCAGCAGUGGGGAAUAUUGCACAAUGGGGGGAACCCUGAUGCAGCGACGCCGCGUGGGUGAAGGAGCACCUCGGUGCGUAAAGCCCUAUCGGCAGGGAAGAAACAGACGGUACCUGACUAAGAAGCCCCGGCUAACUACGUGCCAGCAGCCGCGGUAAUACGUAGGGGGCAAGCGUUAUCCGGAUUCACUGGGUGUAAAGGGAGCGUAGACGGCGACGGAAGUCUGGAGUGAAAGCCCGGGGCCCAACCCCGGGCCUGCUCUGGAAACUGGGGCGCUGGAGUACGGGAGGGGCAGGCGGAAUUCCUGGUGAAGCGGUGAAAUGCGUAGAUAUCAGGAGGAACACCGGCGGCGAAGGCGGCUUACUGGACUGUAACUGACGUUGAGGCUCGAAAGCGUGAGGAGCAAACAGGAUUAGAUACCCGGGUAAA